CCUACAACCUCUCUGUUUUCUAACAUACACUGGCACGCCAAAACUCGAUCCUCCCACCGCCACCGCCACCAUGGAUCACUGCCACUGCAUCGAUUUCUCUUUGCCUCUCCAUCGUCGCUCAAUCCAGCCCAUCAUAUUUUAUUUUGAGGCACAAAGGAGCCUGCACAGGCCUUGAGAGAAAAAACAACCCUUGGUUAUAUUGAUGCUGGUGUUGCUUCAACAUGAAGUCAUAAUACAUGGAGAGUGGUAAGGAGGAAGAUAAGUAGGGAAUGUGAUGCUGUGUUGUUGAUUUAAUCAGGGUGAGAUGUAUUUGUUGGCCUUAUUUUCUCAAUGUCAUUUUUUGUGUGAUGUAAAAACAUGACUGUCAUUUUUUUAUGCUUUUUCAAUUGAACCAGAAUGGAUUUUUUUCUCCAACUUAAAUGAAUG
Quercus lobata is the source of this 426-nucleotide long non-coding RNA. RefSeq lists it as uncharacterized. Lineage: Eukaryota; Viridiplantae; Streptophyta; Magnoliopsida; Fagales; Fagaceae. The transcript has 3 exons. The record is from RefSeq and is a predicted model, not a curated record.